RNAcentral lists this ribosomal RNA (690 nucleotides) under Streptomyces sp. MR-I16. RNAcentral's name for it is "bacterial SSU rRNA". It matches the Rfam family "Bacterial small subunit ribosomal RNA", at positions 55 to 764 of the family's 1533-position model. The record is from RNAcentral. Lineage: Bacteria; Bacillati; Actinomycetota; Actinomycetes; Kitasatosporales; Streptomycetaceae.
AUGCAGUCGACGAUGAAGCCCUUCGGGGUGGAUUAGUGGCGAACGGGUGAGUAACACGUGGGCAAUCUGCCCUUCACUCUGGGACAAGCCCUGGAAACGGGGUCUAAUACCGGAUAACACCGGCUUCCGCAUGGGAGCUGGUUAAAAGCUCCGGCGGUGAAGGAUGAGCCCGCGGCCUAUCAGCUUGUUGGUGGGGUAAUGGCCUACCAAGGCGACGACGGGUAGCCGGCCUGAGAGGGCGACCGGCCACACUGGGACUGAGACACGGCCCAGACUCCUACGGGAGGCAGCAGUGGGGAAUAUUGCACAAUGGGCGAAAGCCUGAUGCAGCGACGCCGCGUGAGGGAUGACGGCCUUCGGGUUGUAAACCUCUUUCAGCAGGGAAGAAGCGAAAGUGACGGUACCUGCAGAAGAAGCGCCGGCUAACUACGUGCCAGCAGCCGCGGUAAUACGUAGGGCGCAAGCGUUGUCCGGAAUUAUUGGGCGUAAAGAGCUCGUAGGCGGCUUGUCACGUCGGGUGUGAAAGCCCGGGGCUUAACCCCGGGUCUGCAUCCGAUACGGGCAGGCUAGAGUGUGGUAGGGGAGAUCGGAAUUCCUGGUGUAGCGGUGAAAUGCGCAGAUAUCAGGAGGAACACCGGUGGCGAAGGCGGAUCUCUGGGCCAUUACUGACGCUGAGGAGCGAAAGCGUGG